This 301-nucleotide ribosomal RNA is filed under the name uncultured bacterium. RNAcentral describes it as "partial 16S ribosomal RNA". It matches the Rfam family "Bacterial small subunit ribosomal RNA", at positions 509 to 807 of the family's 1533-position model. The record is from RNAcentral.
CAGUCGCCGCGGGAAUACGUAUGUCGCGAGCGUUAUCCGAAAUUAUUGGGCAUAAAGGGCAUCUAGGCGGCCGGAUAAGUCUGGGGUGAAAACUUGCGGCUCAACCGCAAGCCUGCCCUGGAAACUAUGCGGCUAGAGUACUGGAGAGGUGGACGGAACUGCACGAGUAGAGGUGAAAUUCGUAGAUAUGUGCAGGAAUGCCGAUGAUGAAGAUAGUUCACUGGACGGUAACUGACGCUGAAGUGCGAAAGCUAGGGGAGCAAACAGGAUUAGAUACCCCAGUAGUCCCUGUCUCUUAUAC